Molecule: ribosomal RNA, 482 nt
Filed under: uncultured bacterium
Lineage: Bacteria
Also listed under: 1 other name
Description: bacterial SSU rRNA
Rfam family: Bacterial small subunit ribosomal RNA
Source: RNAcentral
GAUGAACGCUAGCGGCAGGCUUAACACAUGCAAGUCGUGGGGCAGCGCGGACUUCGGUCUGGCGGCGACCGGCAAACGGGUGCGGAACACGUACGCAACCUCCCUCAGAGCGGGGAAUAGCCUCUCGAAAGAGAGAUUAAUACCCCAUAGUAUCUUGAAGACACAUGUCUAUGAGAUUAAAGCUUCGGCACUUUGAGAUGGGCGUGCGGCUGAUUAGGUAGUUGGUAGGGUAACGGCCUACCAAGCCGACGAUCAGUAGCUGAUGUGAGAGCAUGAUCAGCCACACGGGCACUGAGACACGGGCCCGACUCCUACGGGAGGCAGCAGUGAGGAAUAUUGGUCAAUGGAGGAAACUCUGAACCAGCCAUGCCGCGUGGAGGAUGAAGGUCCUCUGGAUUGUAAACUCCUUUUAUAAAAGAAGAAACCCCAUUUUUCUAAAUGGGUUGACGGUACUUUAUGAAUAAGCACCGGCUAACUCCGUG